Molecule: ribosomal RNA, 497 nt
Filed under: uncultured bacterium
Lineage: Bacteria
Description: partial 16S ribosomal RNA
Rfam family: Bacterial small subunit ribosomal RNA
Source: RNAcentral
GAUGAACGCUGGCGGCGUGCCUAAUACAUGCAAGUCGAGCGAACAGACGAGGAGCUUGCUCCUCUGACGUUAGCGGCGGACGGGUGAGUAACACGUGGAUAACCAACCUAUAAGACUGGGAUAACUUCGGGAAACCGGAGCUAAUACCGGAUAAUAUAUUGAACCGCAUGGUUCAAUAGUGAAAGACGGUUUUGCUGUCACUUAUAGAUGGAUCCGCGCCGCAUUAGCUAGUUGGUAAGGUAACGGCUUACCAAGGCAACGAUGCGUAGCCGACCUGAGAGGGUGAUCGGCCACACUGGAACUGAGACACGGUCCAGACUCCUACGGGAGGCAGCAGUAGGGAAUCUUCCGCAAUGGGCGAAAGCCUGACGGAGCAACGCCGCGUGAGUGAUGAAGGUCUUCGGAUCGUAAAACUCUGUUAUUAGGGAAGAACAAAUGUGUAAGUAACUAUGCACGUCUUGACGGUACCUAAUCAGAAAGCCACGGCUAACUACGUG